CCUGAAUCCCAGAGGCAUUGCAUGUGUGUCUUUUAUGUCAUAUGAGUGUCGGUAGGAGGCAGAGAAGAGACUAUGUCCAUGCUCAGCUCACAGUCCUGACCUAUGAAUAUCUGAAAAAUUAGCAGCCUAACAUU
This is a small nucleolar RNA of Grammomys surdaster, 134 nucleotides long. RefSeq annotates it as small nucleolar RNA SNORA17. The transcript has a single exon. The record is from RefSeq and is a predicted model, not a curated record. NCBI's taxonomy places the organism in Eukaryota, Metazoa, Chordata, Mammalia, Rodentia, Muridae.